CCUACGGGAGGCAGCAGUGAGGAAUAUUGGGCAAUGGACGAGAGUCUGAACCAGCCAAGUAGCGUGAAGGAUGACUGCCCUAUGGGUUGUAAACUUCUUUUAUAUGGGAAUAAAACGUUCCACGUGUGGGAUUUUGUAUGUACCAUAUGAAUAAGGAUCGGCUAACUCCGUGCCAGCAGCCGCGGUAAUACGGAGGAUCCGAGCGUUAUCCGGAUUUAUUGGGUUUAAAGGGAGCGUAGGUGGAUUGUUAAGUCAGUUGUGAAAGUUUGCGGCUCAACCGUAGAAUUGCAGUUGAAACUGGCAGUCUUGAGUACAGUAGAGGUAGGCGGAAUUCGUGGUGUAGCGGUGAAAUGCUUAGAUAUCACGAAGAACUCCGAUUGCGAAGGCAGUUCACUGGACUGCAACUGACACUGAGGCUCGAAAGUGUGGGUAUCAAACAGGAUUAGAUACCCCAGUAGUC
This 460-nucleotide ribosomal RNA is filed under the name uncultured bacterium. RNAcentral's name for it is "partial 16S ribosomal RNA". It matches the Rfam family "Bacterial small subunit ribosomal RNA", at positions 338 to 795 of the family's 1533-position model. The record is from RNAcentral.